GGGUUGUGAGGUUAAGCGACUAAGCGUACACGGUGGAUGCCCUGGCAGUCAGAGGCGAUGAAGGACGUGCUAAUCUGCGAAAAGCGUCGGUAAGGUGAUAUGAACCGUUAUAACCGGCGAUGUCCGAAUGGGGAAACCCAGUGCAAUUCGUUGCACUAUCGUUAACUGAAUACAUAGGUUAACGAGGCGAACCGGGGGAACUGAAACAUCUAAGUACCCCGAGGAAAAGAAAUCAACCGAGAUUCCCCCCAGUAGCGGCGAGCGAACGGGGAGCAGCCCAGAGUCUGAAUCAGCUUGUGUGUUAGUGGAACGGUCUGGAAAGUCCGACGGUACAGGGUGAUAGUCCCGUACACCAAAAUGCACAGGUUGUGAACUCGAAGAGUAGGGCGGGACACGUGGUAUCCUGUCUGAAUAUGGGGGGACCAUCCUCCAAGGCUAAAUACUCCUGACUGACCGAUAGUGAACCAGUACCGUGAGGAAAGGCGAAAAGAACCCCGGCGAGGGGAGUGAAAAAGAACCUGAAACCGUGUACGUACAAGCAGUGGGAGCACCUUCGGGUGUGACUGCGUACCUUUUGUAUAAUGGGUCAGCGACUUAUAUUCUGUAGCAAGGUUAACCGUAUAGGGGAGCCGCAGGGAAACCGAGUCUUAACUGGGCGUUAAGUUGCAGGGUAUAGACCCGAAACCCGGUGAUCUAGCCAUGGGCAGGUUGAAGGUUGGGUAACACUAACUGGAGGACCGAACCGACUAAUGUUGAAAAAUUAGCGGAUGACUUGUGGCUGGGGGUGAAAGGCCAAUCAAACCGGGAGAUAGCUGGUUCUCCCCGAAAGCUAUUUAGGUAGCGCCUCGUGAAUUCAUCUUCGGGGGUAGAGCACUGUUUCGGCUAGGGGGUCAUCCCGACUUACCAACCCGAUGCAAACUACGAAUACCGAAGAAUGUUAUCACGGGAGACACACGGCGGGUGCUAACGUCCGUCGUGAAGAGGGAAACAACCCAGACCGCCAGCUAAGGUCCCAAAGUCAUGGUUAAGUGGGAAACGAUGUGGGAAGGCACAGACAGCCAGGAUGUUGGCUUAGAAGCAGCCAUCAUUUAAAGAAAGCGUAAUAGCUCACUGGUCGAGUCGGCCUGCGCGGAAGAUGUAACGGGGCUAAACCAUGCACCGAAGCUGCGGCAGCGACGCUUAUGCGUUGUUGGGUAGGGGAGCGUUCUGUAAGCCUGCGAAGGUGGCCUGUGAGGGCUGCUGGAGGUAUCAGAAGUGCGAAUGCUGACAUAAGUAACGAUAAAGCGGGUGAAAAGCCCGCUCGCCGGAAGACCAAGGGUUCCUGUCCAACGUUAAUCGGGGCAGGGUGAGUCGACCCCUAAGGCGAGGCCGAAAGGCGUAGUCGAUGGGAAACAGGUUAAUAUUCCUGUACUUGGUGUUACUGCGAAGGGGGGACGGAGAAGGCUAUGUUAGCCGGGCGACGGUUGUCCCGGUUUAAGCAUGUAGGCGGAGGUUCCGGUAAAUCCGGUACCUUUAACGCUGAGGUGUGAUGACGAGGCACUACGGUGCUGAAGUAACAAAUGCCCUGCUUCCAGGAAAAGCCUCUAAGCAUCAGGUAACAUUAAAUCGUACCCCAAACCGACACAGGUGGUCAGGUAGAGAAUACCAAGGCGCUUGAGAGAACUCGGGUGAAGGAACUAGGCAAAAUGGUGCCGUAACUUCGGGAGAAGGCACGCUGGUGUGUAGGUGAAGUCCCUGCGGAUGGAGCUGAGACCAGUCGAAGAUACCAGCUGGCUGCAACUGUUUAUUAAAAACACAGCACUGUGCAAACACGAAAGUGGACGUAUACGGUGUGACGCCUGCCCGGUGCCGGAAGGUUAAUUGAUGGGGUUAUCCGUAAGGAGAAGCUCUUGAUCGAAGCCCCGGUAAACGGCGGCCGUAACUAUAACGGUCCUAAGGUAGCGAAAUUCCUUGUCGGGUAAGUUCCGACCUGCACGAAUGGCGUAAUGAUGGCCGGCUGUCUCCACCCGAGACUCAGUGAAAUUGAACUCGCUGUGAAGAUGCAGUGUACCCGCGGCAAGACGGAAAGACCCCGUGAACCUUUACUAUAGCUUGACACUGAACAUUGAGCCUUGAUGUGUAGGAUAGGUGGGAGGCUUUGAAGCGUGGACGCCAGUCUGCGUGGAGCCAACCUUGAAAUACCACCCUUUAAUGUUUGAUGUUCUAACGUUGGCCCCUUAUCGGGGUUGCGGACAGUGUCUGGUGGGUAGUUUGACUGGGGCGGUCUCCUCCCAAAGAGUAACGGAGGAGCACGAAGGUUAGCUAAUCUGGUCGGACAUCAGGAGGUUAGUGCAAUGGCAUAAGCUAGCUUGACUGCGAGCGUGACGGCGCGAGCAGGUGCGAAAGCAGGUCAUAGUGAUCCGGUGGUUCUGAAUGGAAGGGCCAUCGCUCAACGGAUAAAAGGUACUCCGGGGAUAACAGGCUGAUACCGCCCAAGAGUUCAUAUCGACGGCGGUGUUUGGCACCUCGAUGUCGGCUCAUCACAUCCUGGGGCUGAAGUAGGUCCCAAGGGUAUGGCUGUUCGCCAUUUAAAGUGGUACGCGAGCUGGGUUUAGAACGUCGUGAGACAGUUCGGUCCCUAUCUGCCGUGGGCGCUGGAGAAUUGAGGGGGGCUGCUCCUAGUACGAGAGGACCGGAGUGGACGCAUCACUGGUGUUCGGGUUGUCAUGCCAAUGGCACUGCCCGGUAGCUAAAUGCGGAAGAGAUAAGUGCUGAAAGCAUCUAAGCACGAAACUUGCCCCGAGAUGAGUUCUCCCUGAGACUUUAAGUCUCCUGAAGGAACGUUGAAGACGACGACGUUGAUAGGCCGGGUGUGUAAGCGCAGCGAUGCGUUGAGCUAACCGGUACUAAUGAACCGUGAGGCUUAACCUUACAACGCCGAAGCUGUU
RNAcentral lists this ribosomal RNA (2927 nucleotides) under Klebsiella variicola. RNAcentral describes it as "bacterial LSU rRNA". It matches the Rfam family "Bacterial large subunit ribosomal RNA". Lineage: Bacteria; Pseudomonadati; Pseudomonadota; Gammaproteobacteria; Enterobacterales; Enterobacteriaceae. The record is from RNAcentral.